GUGUGUAGAGGAGGACAAUG
RNAcentral lists this microRNA (20 nucleotides) under Sus scrofa (pig). RNAcentral describes it as "ssc-miR-9831-3p". The record is from miRBase by way of RNAcentral. Lineage: Eukaryota; Metazoa; Chordata; Mammalia; Artiodactyla; Suidae.